Molecule: transfer RNA, 85 nt
Filed under: Collinsella aerofaciens
Lineage: Bacteria; Bacillati; Actinomycetota; Coriobacteriia; Coriobacteriales; Coriobacteriaceae
Also listed under: 8 other names
Description: tRNA-Leu
Rfam family: tRNA
About the family: Transfer RNA (tRNA) molecules are approximately 80 nucleotides in length. Their secondary structure includes four short double-helical elements and three loops (D, anti-codon, and T loops).
Source: RNAcentral
CGGGGCGUGGCGGAAUGGCAGACGCGCGUGCCUCAGGAGCACGUGGGCAUCGCCCGUGCGGGUUCGAGUCCCGCCGCCCCGACCA